GAGCCGUUAGCUCAGUUGGUAGAGCGCCUGACUUUUAAUCAGGGGGUCCUGGGUUCGAGUCCCAGACGGCUCACCA
RNAcentral lists this transfer RNA (76 nucleotides) under Candidatus Rokuibacteriota bacterium. RNAcentral's name for it is "Candidatus Rokubacteria bacterium (sediment metagenome) tRNA-Lys". It matches the Rfam family "tRNA". Rfam says of the family: Transfer RNA (tRNA) molecules are approximately 80 nucleotides in length. Their secondary structure includes four short double-helical elements and three loops (D, anti-codon, and T loops). Further hydrogen bonds mediate the characteristic L-shaped molecular structure. tRNAs have two regions of fundamental functional importance: the anti-codon, which is responsible for specific mRNA codon recognition, and the 3' end, to which the tRNAs corresponding amino acid is attached (by aminoacyl-tRNA synthetases). tRNAs cope with the degeneracy of the genetic code in two manners: having more than one tRNA (with a specific anti-codon) for a particular amino acid; and 'wobble' base-pairing, i.e. permitting non-standard base-pairing at the 3rd anti-codon position. RNAcentral also lists the same sequence under 1 other name. Lineage: Bacteria; Candidatus Rokuibacteriota. The record is from RNAcentral.